Molecule: ribosomal RNA, 468 nt
Filed under: uncultured bacterium
Lineage: Bacteria
Description: partial 16S ribosomal RNA
Rfam family: Bacterial small subunit ribosomal RNA
Source: RNAcentral
GACGAACGCUGGCGGCGUGCUUAACACAUGCAAGUCGAACGGAAAGGCCCUGCUUUUGUGGGGUGCUCGAGUGGCGAACGGGUGAGUAACACGUGAGUAACCUGCCCUUGACUUUGGGAUAACUUCAGGAAACUGGGGCUAAUACCGGAUAGGAGCUCCUGCUGCAUGGUGGAGGUUGGAAAGUUUCGGCGGUUGGGGAUGGACUCGCGGCUUAUCAGCUUGUUGGUGGGGUAGUGGCUUACCAAGGCUUUGACGGGUAGCCGGCCUGAGAGGGUGACCGGCAACAUGGGGAAUGAGAUACGGCCCAGACUCCUACGGGAGGCAGCAGUGGGGAAUAUUGAAAAAUGGGCGGAAGCCUGAUGCAGCAACGCCGCGUGCGGGAUGACGGCCUUCGGGUUGUAACCCGCUUUCGCCUGUGACGAAGCGUGAGUGACGGUAAUGGGUAAAGAAGCACCGGCUAACUACGUG